This 341-nucleotide ribosomal RNA is filed under the name Klebsiella pneumoniae. RNAcentral describes it as "partial 23S ribosomal RNA". It matches the Rfam family "Bacterial large subunit ribosomal RNA", at positions 911 to 1250 of the family's 2925-position model. The record is from RNAcentral. Lineage: Bacteria; Pseudomonadati; Pseudomonadota; Gammaproteobacteria; Enterobacterales; Enterobacteriaceae.
UGUUUCGGCUAGGGGGUCAUCCCGACUUACCAACCCGAUGCAAACUACGAAUACCGAAGAAUGUUAUCACGGGAGACACACGGCGGGUGCUAACGUCCGUCGUGAAGAGGGAAACAACCCAGACCGCCAGCUAAGGUCCCAAAGUCAUGGUUAAGUGGGAAACGAUGUGGGAAGGCACAGACAGCCAGGAUGUUGGCUUAGAAGCAGCCAUCAUUUAAAGAAAGCGUAAUAGCUCACUGGUCGAGUCGGCCUGCGCGGAAGAUGUAACGGGGCUAAACCAUGCACCGAAGCUGCGGCAGCGACACUAUGUGUUGUUGGGUAGGGGAGCGUUCUGUAAGCCU